AAGGCGGACGGGUGAGUAACACGUGGGUAAUCUGCCUGUAAGACGGGGAUAACUCCGGGAAACCGGGGCUAAUACCGGAUAAUAAGAGAAGAAGCAUUUCUUCUUUUUGAAAGUCGGUUUCGGCUGACACUUACAGAUGAGCCCGCGGCGCAUUAGCUAGUUGGUGAGGUAACGGCUCACCAAGGCGACGAUGCGUAGCCGACCUGAGAGGGUGAUCGGCCACACUGGGACUGAGACACGGCCCAGACUCCUACGGGAGGCAGCAGUAGGGAAUCUUCGGCAAUGGGCGAAAGCCUGACCGAGCAACGCCGCGUGAGCGAUGAAGGCCUUCGGGUCGUAAAGCUCUGUUGUUAGAGAAGAACAAGUACGAGAGUAACUGCUCGUACCUUGACGGUACCUAACCAGAAAGCCACGGCUAACUACGUGCCAGCAGCCGCGGUAAUACGUAGGUGGCAAGCGUUAUCCGGAAUUAUUGGGCGUAAAGCGCGCGCAGGCGGUCUCUUAAGUCUGAUGUGAAAGCCCACGGCUCAACCGUGGAGGGUCAUUGGAAACUGGGAGACUUGAGUGCAGGAGAGAAAAGUGGAAUUCCACGUGUAGCGGUGAAAUGCGUAGAGAUGUGGAGGAACACCAGUGGCGAAGGCGGCUUUUUGGCCUGUAACUGACGCUGAGGCGCGAAAGCGUGGGGAGCAACAGGAUUAGAUACCCUGGUAGUCCACGCCGUAAACGAUGAGUGCUAGUGUUGGGGGGUUCCACCCUCAGUGCU
Molecule: ribosomal RNA, 763 nt
Filed under: bacterium BD-2006
Lineage: Bacteria
Description: bacterial SSU rRNA
Rfam family: Bacterial small subunit ribosomal RNA
Source: RNAcentral